This 405-nucleotide ribosomal RNA is filed under the name uncultured bacterium. RNAcentral describes it as "partial 16S ribosomal RNA". It matches the Rfam family "Bacterial small subunit ribosomal RNA", at positions 30 to 526 of the family's 1533-position model. The record is from RNAcentral.
AUUGAACGCUGGCGGCAGGCCUAACACAUGCAAGUCGAACGAGCGGCGGACGGGUGAGUAAUGUAUGGGGAUCUGCCUGAUGGAGGGGGAUCACUACUGGAAACUGUAGCUAAUACCGCGUACCAUCCGAUGAACCCAACUGGGAUUAGGGUGUUGGUGAGGUAAAGGCUCACCAACCGACGAUCCCUAGCUGGUCUGAGAGGAUGACCAGCCACACGGUGACUGAGACACGGCCCAGACUCCUACGGGAGGCAGCAGUGGGGAAUAGUGCGCAAUGGGGGCAAGCCUGACGCAGCCAUGCCGAGGGUAUGAAGAAGGCCUUCGGGUUGUAAAGUUCUUUCGGUAGGGAGGCGUUAACUACAGAAGAAGCACCGGCUAACUCCGUGCCAGCAGCCGCGGUAAUAC